GCGCAUACACGGCUCAGCUGUGUGCAAUCGCAACCAAUUUACGUAGAAAAAUAAUGUAUUUUAUAGUAUUUUUAUUCAGUUAGACGAAGUACUGGAUACGGUAUUCGUGAUAUUAGGAAACAUGGACUGCCCAUCCAGUAUUGCAACAGUGCAUAAAUUGUGCUUAUACUAUAUGUAGCCUUUUGCUUUGUAUUGUCUUUGAUGCAUCAAAACAAAUAUUACAUUUUUGAAGAAAAUUAUUCCUAGCUUUUAAUAGGAGAGAUGGAUGUAGUACGAGAUGAAGACAGGCGCAGGCGCCUGAGGGUGCUGGAGGAACGUGUAAAGGAUCCAAGAAGUAUCACAAACAUUGAUUGCUUGUUGGAUACAGUUCAGGCCCUGGUGGCAGAUUGUGAUCAUCCCAGCGUAAAACGUAUGAAAAACAUAGAAGCAUAUAUGAAUAGAUAUGACUCAGUAGCUCAAGAUAUUUGUAAAAUGCGAAUGCGUACAGAUGACUUUACUCUAAUAAAAGUGAUAGGUCGUGGUUCAUUUGGUGAAGUACAAUUAGUAAGACAUAAAUCUACACAGAAAGUAUAUGCUAUGAAAUUACUCAGUAAAUUUGAAAUGAUCAAACGAUCAGAUUCAGCCUUUUUUUGGGAAGAACGUGAUAUAAUGGCACAUGCCAAUUCUCAGUGGAUAGUUCAGCUUCAUUUUGCAUUUCAAGAUCAAAAAUAUCUUUACAUGGUGAUGGAUUACAUGCCAGGUGGUGAUUUAGUGAAUUUAAUGUCAAAUUAUGACGUGCCAGAAAAAUGGGCAAAAUUUUAUUGUGCAGAAGUGGUGCUUGCAUUAGAUGCAAUACAUCUUAUGGGAUUUGUUCAUAGAGAUGUAAAGCCAGAUAAUAUGUUACUUGAUAAGUAUGGUCAUUUAAAACUUGCAGAUUUUGGCACUUGUAUGAGAAUGGAUGCCGAUGGUCUUGUUCGAUCUGAUACUGCAGUAGGUACACCUGAUUAUAUAUCACCUGAGGUGCUUCAGUCUCAAGGUGGUGAAGGUGUAUACGGAAGAGAAUGUGAUUGGUGGUCAGUUGGUGUAUUUUUAUAUGAAAUGCUUGUUGGUGAUACUCCGUUUUAUGCAGAUUCAUUAGUUGGAACAUAUUCAAAAAUUAUGGAUCAUAGAAAUUCACUACAUUUUCCACAAGAAGUUGAUAUUUCUCAUUCUGCCAAGAAUUUGAUAUGUGGUUUUCUUACGGAUAGAACUAAACGUUUGGGUAGAAAUGGCGUGGAAGAAAUAAAAAAUCAUCCUUUCUUUAAAAACGAUCAGUGGACAUUUGAAAAUUUACGAGAAUGUGUGCCUCCUGUCGUGCCAGAACUUUCCGGCGAUGAUGAUACUAGCAAUUUUGAGGAUGUCGAUAAAGAAGAUGGACCGGAGGAAAGUUUCCCAAUACCAAAAGCAUUUUCUGGAAACCAUUUACCUUUUAUUGGUUUUACAUAUUCAGAAGAUUAUCAAUUAAUGGCUUCUAGCGGCAAGGAGUCGGUAGAUGGCUUAGAAAAUCAUAUCAAUAAUGGUACAAGCGAUGAUAUUAAAAUUUCUCAAUUAGAAAACUUAUUGGAUAAAGAAAAGAGACAGGUAGAAUCUUUAGAAUCAAGGCAGAAAGCUUUAACAACACGGUUAGAAGCUAUGACACGCCGGGAAACCGAAUUGCGUGAAGAAAUAGGUAGAGCGGACAAAGAAUUGACUUUGUUGAGGCAUAAUUAUAAAGAAGCACAACGUAGGGUGGAGCAUGAAACUGAGUCGCGUAGAAAAGCGGAGUCAUUAAUUGUGGAGUUGAAAAAGAAGUAUGAUGAAGAGCAGACGAAACGAGCACGUGAUGCAAGUAAUUCACAACAAACUUCUGAACGUGUAACAAGUUUAGAAAAACAAAUUAAAGAAAUGCAAUCGAAAUUGGAAAGAGAAACAGAAAUGGUAACGAGGUUACGGAAACAAGCUACUGAGAUUACUGUUGCUCGUCAAGCUGCAGAACAAAUGGCAAAUGAACUACAAGUGGAAAGAGCGAAAUUACAAGCGCAACGAGAUAAUUUACAGCAAGAAGUGGCUACAUUACAAGGACAAUUGUCGAAAGAGCGUAGUUCUCGAUCACAAGCCUCAUCGUUAACUGCUGAAUUAGAAAGCCGACUCUCUGCUCUUCAUGUCGAACUCGAACAUAGUCGAGAGAAAGAGGAGAAAGUAAUCAUGGAUAAUAGACAACUAACUGAAAAAAUCUCAGCAUUGGAAAAAGAAGCAGCAAGUUUAACUCUUGAAUUAAAAGCUGCGCAAGCUAGGUAUAAUCAGGAAGUGGUAGCCCAUCAAGAAACGGAACGUUCACGCAUACUAUCCAAAGAGGAAGCUAAUUUAGAAGUAGUUAAAGCAUUACAAGCAAAAUUAAAUGAAGAAAAAAGUGGGAGGCAACGUGCUGAAUUACUUGCACAAGAAAAGGAAAGGCAAACCUCUAUGCUCUCUGUGGAUUAUCGACAGAUUCAACAGCGAUUACAGAAACUGGAAGGAGAACAUAGGCAAGAAGUUGAAAAGGUAAAAGUGCUACAAGGUCAGGUCGAACAAGAACAGCAGAAAAGAAACAUUCUGCAGACUGACUUAGCACAGCAGUCGUCCGAAGCAGGACGAUUACGUGCCAGGGAACAACAAUUAGCUGGCGAAGUUGCUCAGCUAAGAGAAGCAAAACGUCAAAUAGAGGAUGAAUUACAUCACUUGAAAACUCAAAGAAAUGUGGAUCAACUACAAACUAAGGAAUUACAAGAACAAUUAGAAGCAGAAGCUUAUUUUUCGACACUUUAUAAAACACAGACGCAAGAACUUCGGGAAGAACUUGAUGAAAAAAUACGUUUACAACAAGAAUUAGAAGAGGAACGUAGCUCUUUAGUGCAUCAGUUACAAUUAUCUCUAGCGAGAGGUGAUAGUGAAGCUUUGGCGAGAUCAAUAGCUGAAGAAACUGUCGCAGACCUCGAAAAGGAACGAACAAUGAAGGAAUUAGAAUAUAAAGAUGGAGUAGCCAAACAUCACCAAGAAUUGAACGCAAAAGAACAAAUUAUAAAUCGGCUUAAGGAUAGUGAAGGUGAACUUAAGAAAAAUGUUGAUCAAUAUCUUAAAGAAAAGGAAGAUUUAAAUAAACGGUUUAAAGAAUUGCAAGAUCAACUUUCUAAAGCACAGUCUAAUGGCGAAGAAAUAGAAAAAUUGAGCAGUAAAUUGAAAACUGAGCAAUUAUUGAAACAACAAGCAGUUAAUAAGUUAGCAGAGAUUAUGAACAGGAAAGACUUGUCUUCAAGUGGUAAAUCCAAGAAUAAAGCUUCUGCAGCAGAUUUAAGAAAGAAGGAAAAAGAUUGCAGGCGUUUACAACAAGAGCUUACUCAAGAGAGAGAAAAAUACGGACAGUUAACAGCUAAAUGGCAAAAAGAUUUGCAAGAUUUACAAGCACAAUUGGUGGAAGAAAAUCAAGCGAAAUUGAGGUUACAAAUGGAACUCGAUUCGAAAGAUUCCGAAAUAGAAACUUUACAAAUGAAAAUUGCUUCGCUCAACUCAGAAACCGCUAGCGUUUCGUCCGUUGAAAACGACGGAGAAGAUUCUGUUUUAUCGGAACAUGGAACCAUGCGAUUGGAAGGUUGGUUAAACGUGCCAAAUAAACAGAACAUUAAAAGGCAUGGAUGGAAAAAACAAUACGUUGUUGUCUCUUCGAAGAAAAUAAUAUUUUAUAAUAGUGAAAAUGAUAAAUUAAAUGCCGAUCCAGUCUUGAUAUUGGACCUAAAUAAAGUCUUCCACGUUAGAUCUGUUACUCAGGGUGAUGUUAUCCGAGCUGAUGCCAAAGAUAUUCCGAGAAUUUUCCAGUUAUUAUAUGCUGGUGAAGGCGAAGCAAGACGUCCUGGUGAUGAAGGAAACACAUUGCCUGGAGUGGAACUGCCACAACUUACGGACAAACCAGGCACGCAAUCGUUAAAAGGUCACGAAUUUGUGUCAAUAUCGUAUCAUAUGCCGACUACUUGCGAGGUAUGCUCAAAACAAUUGUGGCAUAUGUUUCGACCGCCACCAGCUCUCGAGUGCCGAAGGUGUCGUAUAAAAGUUCAUAAGGAGCAUUUGGACAAAAAGGAAGAUGCCAUAGCACCCUGCAAAUUACAUUACGAUCCAAACAGUGCUCGUGAAUUAUUAAUAUUGGCUGGUAGUCCUGACGAACAGAAAUAUUGGGUCGCAAGACUGUCUAGACGUGUACAAAAAUGUGGCUACAAAGCAAACUCGCACGUCGAUGGCACGGGGCAACGUGUCUCGCCAAGGUAGCGUAGCGGUGCGGCUCAACGUAACCGGAGACUAAGUAGCUCUCUUGUAUUGUGGCAUCGCAUGAUUGGGUGUAGCGAGAGAGUCUACGAGAUCCACCUUGAAGCCAUAUUUAUCGGUGCAACAACGAUCCGCGACUCUGCCAGCAAAUGCCAGCAUGGGCAAGUGACCUUAGCUAGUAUCGAUAAUACUCGAUUGGAAUUCGUUGCUUCGACGUCCUUCUCAAUCGAUCUAUUUAAAACAUAUAAAUUCAAUCAGUUGGUCAGACAAAUGAUUUGCAAUGAGAUUCAAAUAUGCGAAAAUAAUUUUCUACAUUCUAUGUUAUCUGGGAAAAUAUCUUGAGACAUCUGGAGUUCAUGUAUCUUAAAAACAUCCGCCUAUCUGAAUGCACAGAGAAACAUGUCAUUAUCAACUUUUUGACGAAUGCGAGGAUUCUCCACAAAAUCGUUCGUUGACAUUUUUACUUGUAUCGAUCGUUAUUUGUAGGUACAUGUUUGUUAAACGAAUCAAACGUGCCUUUAAUAUAUACUGACGAUGAUGGAACUCGAAUGAUCUAAAGGAAAUUGAAGAAACAAGACGCUCAUCAGGAAAUGUUAUAAGAUGAAAGUUUUCGAGAGGGGGAAACGAGGCGAGUAAUAAGUGGGAGUGUGCAGCUGUUAUUAACAAGACAAAGUAAUGAUAAUAGUGUUUAUAUAAAUGAAUAUAGUGAUCGUAACGAAUUUGAGUAUGUGGGCCGCGUUUCUCGGAUUUAUCAAACACAGUGUUAUGUUCGAUAUCGUAUUCGACGAGCAAGCUUUGUCAAUGAUUUGCAUAGUAUCUCCAAGAGACCAUCAUCGCGCGUUGUUUUAUGAAUAUUUUUCAUACGUGCGAAUGGAUUUUUAUGUUGAUUUAUUUUUUCCAUGAAUGCAUAAAUUCAAAGAUGAUUUCCCUGUACAUAAAUUACGGCCGUAAGAACUGCUUCUCAGUUGUUUAAGCAGCUCGUUCAUUGACUUUUGCAACGAUAUUGUGAAAUGGGUGGACAUUACAAUGCUUUCGCAAAAAAAAAAGAAGAAAAAAAAAAUUGUUGUUUGUGCGAUAUAUAUAUGAUAUUCUCCGAUCAUUAGCGAUUAUUUAAAGGUGAGAAUUUUGAGAACUCGAUAAUAUUGUGUAUUUACUACGCCGGAUUGAUAGUAUUAUUAUUUUUAUACGUUCUGAGAUUAAAGUAUAUCGAUAUUUAAUUACGUUAAGAAGAGAAGGAAUGGAAUUGAUUUAUGCGUAGAAGUACGCAUGCUAUUCAGCUGGCUAGAGCGGCUGCCAAAGUUUCUUCUUUUAGUAUGAGAAACGCGUUAUUAUGUUUAAUCGAAUCAUCGGGGAAUGCAUCGGUAGAUAAAUAUAAACGUGAGAUAAUGAAUAUUGGAAAUACUUCAUCACAGAAUUAUUAAUGAUAGAUACAUUAUUUAAAUUUUGAAGUUGAUAGUCUUGGAAUAUCUCAGAUUUUUAAAUUAUCACAAACACAUUUUUAGAAUCUUGGAAGAACCUUCUACAUCUUUUUGUUUUCUUGCUCUCUUUUUCAAAAUUAUUGUCGUAUUUGUUAGUUCAAAAUUCUUGUUUUAAAUCUUCAAUUCAUAUUUUCGAAGAACUUUCAAGAUUCAACAGGCGCUCUGUAUAUUUUGUGAAUUUUCAUUUCUGUUGCCACGUAUUCAUUAGAAUAUGAAUGCAUAUUGCGACCAAGCAAUAAAGUAAGGGUAGAAAUUGUAAGAGGAAGAGAAAAAGUUAAAUUUUAGAAUGAGCACAAUGGUAAAAUAUUAAGGAAUACCGCCACGAACGAGCUUCAUUGUAUAAUAGAAAUACGAUAUUUACAAUUGUAAGAUAAGAAUUUUUUAAUACGAUGUAUGAUAUAUCCGCUACAGAUUGCUGAAAGGAUGGGCGAUAUGAAAUACCGAAAAAAGCGCAGAAUCGCGCACGUAGUCGAGAGAGGCUUAGGAACAAUGCUAUAGAAAUUGGUGCCGAGUUAGAAAAGAUUUGUACGAGGAGCAACAGAGGUAUCAAGAUGAAGAAAAAAGGAAAAAAAGUGUAAUGAGCUAAUGAAACUUAUUGUUAUUAUUAUCAUCAUCAUCAUCAUCAUCGUCGUCGCCAUCGCCAUCGUCAUCGUCGUCGUCGUCGUCGUCAUCAUCAUCAUCACCACCAUCAUCAUCACCAUCACCAUCACCAUCAUUAUUAUUAUUAUUAUUACUAUUAAAAAAUCAUUGUCGCCGUUUGUGUUCUAUCCACGGUGUACCUCAGUGACGUGUGCGUAUAUUCAUCACGUUGGUCUGGGCCGAGAGAAAAAUGAAAUUUCUCGGUCGCUUUACAGAACUUGUCCCGACUCUUCUUAGGUAGGUUGCAACAUCUUUCUUUCCAUCUGAGACGUCCUUUUAUAAGGUACUUUUUGCGCCCCUUUUCUUCAUCCUUUUUCUUUCUAUUCUUCUUUUUACACUCUGCUUUCAUUUAGUUUUCGAGUUUCCGCGAGAUAAAGGAAGCUCAGUAUGUAUGUGACGUCAUCCGUUGAUUUAUUAAGAAGAUGCGAAAGGGCCAGAUAUACGCAAACGAUUAUGAAAGUAGGAAGCCCACGUUUUUAAUUAAAUUAGCCCGUGCAUUUUACUCUGUUCCGCCUGCCUGUUGCACUAUUUUUUUAUAAACUGGAAAAGAAUUUUCGACAACGCGAGAUAUAAAAUAGGGAGGGAGAGAGAGAGAGAAAACGAGCGAGAGAGAGAGAGAGAGAGAGAGAGAGAGACAGGCAGACAGACAUAGAUAGACAGAGAUAGAUAGGUAGAGAAGCAAGAAGAAGUGAAAAAACUUGUUACAAGCAUAUUUUAUUAUUGUUUAGUUAUUUACAAGCUGUAUAUUAUUGAUUAAUAUUACGAUUAAAGUAUUUUGUAGAUAAAACGCGAGUCUUUGUAGACGUUUUCCACCAUCACCGAACAAUGAAUUUAAUCUCAUUGUCGAAUAGAUUAGAUGUUUCUAAAUAUGUAUUUGAUCUUCUCUAUCUUACGAUUUGUUUUUCUUCUUUAGUCUUUUCGGCUGAUAAUCUUAUUCGAUUGUAGUCAUUUAUAAUAAUCGAAGGUAAGAAAUGGCAUAUAAAAGAGAACGAAUUCUUCCUAUAUAUUUUUCUUUCCCUUUCUUGUCUUGUUGAAAUAAAAAUACCUCAUCUGGAGCACCGUUUGUAGAUUAUUACGGAUGUGCAAAAAUCUUUGAGUGAUAAAUUUGAUCGAAUGUCAUUAUUGUUAAUACAAUAGGGAGUAUCGAGCUUUGUGUAAAACCUUCUUCUAUAUCUCUUUUGCGUACUGUGUACAAUUUUCUAUAUACAUGUGUAUAUGUUAAAUCUUAUGACUUUAUUUUACCUGUAAUCAAAAUUUCGAGAUAAACCGUUUUACGAUGUAA
This is an RNA transcript of Bombus pascuorum, 7686 nucleotides long. It is a transcript of the gene named rho-associated protein kinase 2, with no coding region annotated. The transcript is spliced from 12 exons. The record is from RefSeq and is a predicted model, not a curated record. NCBI's taxonomy places the organism in Eukaryota, Metazoa, Arthropoda, Insecta, Hymenoptera, Apidae.